RNAcentral lists this transfer RNA (73 nucleotides) under Pteropus alecto (black flying fox). It matches the Rfam family "tRNA". Rfam says of the family: Transfer RNA (tRNA) molecules are approximately 80 nucleotides in length. Their secondary structure includes four short double-helical elements and three loops (D, anti-codon, and T loops). The record is from Rfam by way of RNAcentral. Lineage: Eukaryota; Metazoa; Chordata; Mammalia; Chiroptera; Pteropodidae.
GGUUCCAUAAUAUAGUGGUUAGCACGUCCGCUUUACAUGCAGAAGGUUCUCGGUUCACACCCCAGUGGAGCCA